Molecule: long non-coding RNA, 751 nt
Organism: Leptonychotes weddellii (Weddell seal)
Lineage: Eukaryota; Metazoa; Chordata; Mammalia; Carnivora; Phocidae
Source: RefSeq, a predicted model, not a curated record
AUGAAAUGCUUUAAUGAGCACAGAAUUGCAGCUGAUCCCAGCUGAACCUCAAAGUGCUCCACGCUCAGCUUCUCAUCCCCAUCAACUUGUAUUCACAUUCGCUGUGAUUCCGGCUUCUUUCAGGAACAGCCUCCCACAAAACACGGGGAGGAAACUCAUCAACUUCCUGCAGAGACAGCGCAGAAACGCACCCCAAAACCCUUGUCUGUGCUAGCUCGGCUUGGAAGCCCAUGUACGAGUGGGAACAGAGGGGGAGGCUCCAUGGGAAUGCGCUCCAUCACCUGCCAUCCCAGAAACACUGAAAGUCCAACAAGUGAGGCUCAGGUGCCCUGGCCACUUCGGUGAGUGAGCCGACGGGCUCCCCGACAGCACCCACCACUGGACUUGCUUCAGUCUCUCAUUCAGCCAACGUCAUGCCUACCGUGGACAGCACUAGGGACACAGGAGGCCUGUUCCCAGACGCCCGAGUAACAAGCACGGGGUCAGAGGCCUGUGUGCAGAUGGGCACAGAGGAGGGAAAUUCCACGUAUCCGUACCAGGAUCACCAACCCGAGAAACUCUGAAAGCCGGCAGCAGAGUAUUCCAGGGCUAGGAUGCCCGCCCAAGGUCACGUGUGUACCCCGCGCGGUGUGAGCAGACGAGAACCCUCGGCAUUCAAGCUCACACACUCACUGUAACGUUCCUGCCGGGGAGGUUGACGGGGGCAGACCUUCCCAGAGGUUGGGAAAUGAGCUGGAUCCGCACAUGUCCA